AUGACAUGGCUUCAUUGCAGCAGGUUUUGGAUAGUAUUGCAAGAUGUUUUCGCAGGGAUAUUUUUUUCUGGUUUUGACUAUGGUGAUAGAAGGUUUUAUGGUAGGCUGGACAAAGGGUGUAAAACGUUUUGGUUUGUGUUGAGAACAAGUAUGUAUAUGAGCAACAACGCUGGUUUUGGCUAUAGCAGAAUUUGGAAGUGUUUGGCAUGUCUUUAUGAUGCAAGGUUUGAAGUAACAAAAUGGAGAAGGCCUGAAGAACAAGCUUAA
Molecule: non-coding RNA, 267 nt
Organism: Vicia faba (fava bean)
Lineage: Eukaryota; Viridiplantae; Streptophyta; Magnoliopsida; Fabales; Fabaceae
Source: the annotation of a GenBank genome assembly